GAUUGAACGCUGGCGGCAUGCCUUACACAUGCAAGUCGAACGGCAGCACGGGUGCUUGCACCUGGUGGCGAGUGGCGAACGGGUGAGUAAUACAUCGGAACAUGUCCUGUAGUGGGGGAUAGCCCGGCGAAAGCCGGAUUAAUACCGCAUACGAUCUACGGAUGAAAGCGGGGGACCUUCGGGCCUCGCGCUAUAGGGUUGGCCGAUGGCUGAUUAGCUAGUUGGUGGGGUAAAGGCCUACCAAGGCGACGAUCAGUAGCUGGUCUGAGAGGACGACCAGCCACACUGGGACUGAGACACGGCCCAGACUCCUACGGGAGGCAGCAGUGGGGAAUUUUGGACAAUGGGCGAAAGCCUGAUCCAGCAAUGCCGCGUGUGUGAAGAAGGCCUUCGGGUUGUAAAGCACUUUUGUCCGGAAAGAAAUCCUUGGCUCUAAUACAGUCGGGGGAUGACGGUACCGGAAGAAUAAGCACCGGCUAACUACGUGCCAGCAGCCGCGGUAAUACGUAGGGUGCGAGCGUUAAUCGGAAUUACUGGGCGUAAAGCGUGCGCAGGCGGUUUGCUAAGACCGAUGUGAAAUCCCCGGGCUCAACCUGGGAACUGCAUUGGUGACUGGCAGGCUAGAGUAUGGCAGAGGGGGGUAGAAUUCCACGUGUAGCAGUGAAAUGCGUAGAGAUGUGGAGGAAUACCGAUGGCGAAGGCAGCCCCUGGGCCAAUACUGACGCUCAUGCACGAAAGCGUGGGGAGCAAACAGGAUUGGAUACCCUGGUAGUCCACGCCCUAAACGAUGUCAACUAGUUGUUGGGGAUUCAUUUCCUUAGUAACGUAGCUAACGCGUGAAGUUGACCGCCUGGGGAGUACGGUCGCAAGAUUAAAACUCAAAGGAAUUGACGGGGACCCGCACAAGCGGUGGAUGAUGUGGAUUAAUUCGAUGCAACGCGAAAAACCUUACCUACCCUUGACAUGGUCGGAAUCCCGCUGAGAGGUGGGAGUGCUCGAAAGAGAACCGGCGCACAGGUGCUGCAUGGCUGUCGUCAGCUCGUGUCGUGAGAUGUUGGGUUAAGUCCCGCAACGAGCGCAACCCUUGUCCUUAGUUGCUACGCAAGAGCACUCUAAGGAGACUGCCGGUGACAAACCGGAGGAAGGUGGGGAUGACGUCAAGUCCUCAUGGCCCUUAUGGGUAGGGCUUCACACGUCAUACAAUGGUCGGAACAGAGGGUUGCCAACCCGCGAGGGGGAGCUAAUCCCAGAAAACCGAUCGUAGUCCGGAUUGCACUCUGCAACUCGAGUGCAUGAAGCUGGAAUCGCUAGUAAUCGCGGAUCAGCAUGCCGCGGUGAAUACGUUCCCGGGUCUUGUACACACCGC
This 1366-nucleotide ribosomal RNA is filed under the name uncultured beta proteobacterium. Its description in RNAcentral is "bacterial SSU rRNA". It matches the Rfam family "Bacterial small subunit ribosomal RNA", at positions 27 to 1393 of the family's 1533-position model. Lineage: Bacteria; Pseudomonadati; Pseudomonadota; Betaproteobacteria. The record is from RNAcentral.